GAUUUUCUUAGCUCGCACAGGAUUAGAAUCAGCGAAGCGGUUCGACAUCCCGAGCACCGCGAGGGUGAACGUGCUUCAGCACGGCCCGCAGGGUGAGCCUGUGAAACAGGCGAAUCAUCCAGCACGACCCACCA
This 134-nucleotide small RNA is filed under the name Salinimonas profundi. Its description in RNAcentral is "Salinimonas sp. HHU 13199 RtT sRNA". It matches the Rfam family "RtT RNA". Rfam says of the family: This family represents a bacterial cis-regulatory element known as RtT RNA. The exact function of RtT is unknown although it is thought that it may be involved in changing the cellular response in relation to amino acid starvation. Lineage: Bacteria; Pseudomonadati; Pseudomonadota; Gammaproteobacteria; Alteromonadales; Alteromonadaceae. The record is from RNAcentral.